Molecule: ribosomal RNA, 492 nt
Filed under: uncultured bacterium
Lineage: Bacteria
Description: partial 16S ribosomal RNA
Rfam family: Bacterial small subunit ribosomal RNA
Source: RNAcentral
AGUGAACGCUGGCGGUAGGCCUAACACAUGCAAGUCGAACGGCAGCACAGUAAGAGCUUGCUCUUACGGGUGGCGAGUGGCGGACGGGUGAGGAAUACAUCGGAAUCUACUUUUUCGUGGGGGAUAACGUAGGGAAACUUACGCUAAUACCGCAUACGACCUACGGGUGAAAGCAGGGGAUCUUCGGACCUUGCGCGAUUGAAUGAGCCGAUGUCGGAUUAGCUAGUUGGCGGGGUAAAGGCCCACCAAGGCGACGAUCCGUAGCUGGUCUGAGAGGAUGAUCAGCCACACUGGAACUGAGACACGGUCCAGACUCCUACGGGAGGCAGCAGUGGGGAAUAUUGGACAAUGGGCGCAAGCCUGAUCCAGCCAUACCGCGUGGGUGAAGAAGGCCUUCGGGUUGUAAAGCCCUGUUGUUGGGAAAGAAAAGCAGCAGGUUAAUACCCCGCUGCUCUGACGGUACCCAAAGAAUAAGCACCGGCUAACUUCGUG